Non-coding RNA from Leptonychotes weddellii (Weddell seal), 250 nucleotides. The record is from RefSeq and is a predicted model, not a curated record. NCBI's taxonomy places the organism in Eukaryota, Metazoa, Chordata, Mammalia, Carnivora, Phocidae.
AAUGGCCUGUGGGUGUCCAAGGAUUUUGGGGGAAAAUGGGAAGAAAUCCACAAAGCAGUGUGUUUGGCCAAAUGGGGAUCAGAAAACACCAUCUUCUUUACCACUUAUGCGAACGGCUCCUGCAAAGCUGACCUUGGGGCACUGGAAUUAUGGAGAACAUCAGACUUGGGGAAAAGCUUCAAAACCAUUGGUGUGAAAAUCUACUCAUUUGGUCUUGGGGGACGUUUCCUUUUUGCCUCUGUGAUGGCUG